This 856-nucleotide ribosomal RNA is filed under the name uncultured bacterium. Its description in RNAcentral is "bacterial SSU rRNA". It matches the Rfam family "Bacterial small subunit ribosomal RNA", at positions 524 to 1380 of the family's 1533-position model. The record is from RNAcentral.
UACGGAGGGUGCAAGCGUUACUCGGAAUCACUGGGCGUAAAGCGCAUGCAGGCGGUCUAAUAAGUUGGAAGUGAAAGCCUAUGGCUCAACCAUAGAACUGCUUCCAAAACUGUUAGACUAGAGUCUGGGAGGGGAAGAUGGAAUUAGUAGUGUAGGGGUAAAAUCCGUAGAGAUUACUAGGAAUACCAAAAGCGAAGGCGAUCUUCUGGAACAGUACUGACGCUGAGAUGCGAAAGCGUGGGGAGCAAACAGGAUUAGAUACCCUGGUAGUCCACGCAGUAAACGAUGAAUGUUAGUCGUUGGUAUCCUAGAGAUAUCAGUGAUGCAGUUAACACAUUAAACAUUCCGCCUGGGGAGUACGGUCGCAAGAUUAAAACUCAAAGGAAUAGACGGGGACCCGCACAAGUGGUGGAGCAUGUGGUUUAAUUCGAAGAUACGCGAAGAACCUUACCUAGCCUUGACAUAUUUUAGAACUCAGUAGAGAUACAGAGGUGCCUUCGGGAGCUAAUUUACAGGUGCUGCACGGCUGUCGUCAGCUCGUGUCGUGAGAUGUUGGGUUAAGUCCCGCAACGAGCGCAACCCUCGUCACUAGUUACUAACGGUUCGGCCGAGGACUCUAGUGAGACUGCCUUCGUAAGGAGGAGGAAGGUGAGGACGACGUCAAGUCAUCAUGGCCCUUACGGCUAGGGCAACACACGUGCUACAAUGGUUAGGACAAUGAGAAGCAAUAUCGCGAGGUGGAGCAAAUCUAUAAACCUAAUCUCAGUUCGGAUUGUAGUCUGCAACUCGACUACAUGAAGCUGGAAUCACUAGUAAUCGUAGAUCAGCUAUGCUACGGUGAAUACGUUCCCGGGUC